UGGUAUACCUUCUGAAACGAACCGGAUUUUCAUUUCUGAGAAUCUGACUUCCUGUACCCUUGUGAUGGUCCCUGGAUCAGUAGCUAUCACGUACAGAACUCAUUUCAGCAAAAUAUCAUUUCCAUACAACAACAAAAUUAGAGUACAAAAGUUGAGAUUUACAUCCAAAACAUCUCAGAAUACAAAUAUGGUACAGGCCCCUUGGGCUAAACGACAUACAAAACUCAUAUGCAGCGGAAACUAGAGCUUCAAGUCUUCAUCUCUGAUCUUCACCACAGGCAUCCUUAAGUGAAGCAACGCGACCCAUCCUUCAUGACUUCUUCUUCGUGAUCG
This 333-nucleotide long non-coding RNA is filed under the name Setaria viridis. RNAcentral's name for it is "long non-coding RNA (SVIR_LNC009575)". The record is from RNAcentral. Lineage: Eukaryota; Viridiplantae; Streptophyta; Magnoliopsida; Poales; Poaceae.